This is a long non-coding RNA of Monodelphis domestica (gray short-tailed opossum), 2114 nucleotides long. The record is from Ensembl. NCBI's taxonomy places the organism in Eukaryota, Metazoa, Chordata, Mammalia, Didelphimorphia, Didelphidae.
GCUGUCUGGGUGACCCCUCGACUGGGUUAGGUUGUUUUCAGGAAGCGGACUUCAGAAUAGCAGGCCGUGGGACUCUGAGGUUGCCUCUGCUGCCUCGGACUCGGACUUGGAGCUCUGGGUUGGGGGGGAUGGGUCCUAGGACCUUCCUUCUGCCUACCCUUUAGGUCCGAGUGGUCUCGGGUUCUGGCUUUUGGGGGGGGGCGUACCCUUUGAUCCAGGUCCAGGUCCAGGAGGAGGAGUCCCGGGGUCUAUGUUGUUGAUCAUUUUGAAUUUCGGUGUCCUAGGAGCAUUCGGUUUGAGAUCGGUAAGGAAGGGUUUCAGGAGAUCUGAACUUUAGCUUUCUCUUAGCUGCCAUCUUGACCAGAAGUCUCCUUGAGGAUAUAUACUAUAUUUAAUAGAAACUUAUAUAAUUAUAUAUAGACAUAUAUUUAUGUAUUUUGGUUGUUUUUAUUUUUCAGCCAUUUCAUUUGUCUGACAAUUCAUGACCCCAUUUAGAGUUGAGGGGUUUUUUUCUGGCCAAAGAAUGAAUUGUUUUUUCCAUUUGCUUCUCCAGUCCAUUUCACAGAUGAAGAAACUGAACAAAACAGUAAAGACCAGAAUUUCCCUGUGCAAGGAACUUGAUCCCUUUUAAUCUUCUUUGGAAAAAGAGGAUGCAAAGAAGAGUCCAAAAAUUAGAUUUGUUUUCUUGUCAAAUAGAUAAAGGCAAAAAUGAACUAGGGCUUUGUACUCGUAUAUUCUUUGAUCAGCAGAUGAGGAUGAAAAGGAACCAGGUGUUUUUAUUACUGAAAUUAUUGAAGGAGGUGCAAUCCACAAACUUGGAUGGAUUGAAAUUGGACGAGAACCACCUCAAGUCAAGUCAGAACUCAUCAUACUCCUCCAGUUGUCAGAGGAAAGGAAGAAAUAUUUUAUGGAUUCAUUCAUAGUUAAGGUGAGAAAAAUGAGACGCAGAGAAGACAUACAGAAAAAGCUAUGACUUCAGGUCUUCUGGCUCUAAAUUCAAGGCUCUAGAUUCUUCACUAUGCAGUAUGUUUAGGAUUUGAUCAGCAAUGGGAACCAAUUAAAGGUUGCUGUUGUCUCUUGCUAAUCCUAGUAAAACACUUGUAUAGCUCUAAUUGAAUCAUUCAUAUUCUUAGAUACAAGAAUCAAAAAGGAAGAAAAAGCAGAAGAAAUAGUAUUAGAAGAAGAGAUUAGCAGUGCCAAACUUAACAAGGAAAAGGCUCAAAGGAGAUUUUUCUGGUAAGAUAAGUGUUUUUUACUUAUGGAAAACAAAAUUCUCAAGGGACAAAAUAAUUGAUUUCUGCUGAAUUUUACCUCCUUGGCUACCAUUUUACUGUUUUUUUCCCCAUUAUAUAAAAGAACUUCAUUAUUUAUAUUAAAAUUCUCAGUUCAUAUCUUCCUCAAAUGGGUGCUGGCAUAGAGUAGAGGCAGCCAACUCACAGUCAAUGGAUGUGGCCUAAAGAGAUGAGAUCCAUUUCUUUUUGAGUUUGAUAACACCAGCAUAGUAGAAAAAGUAAAGGACAUAGAAUCUUAGUAUCUGGGUUCAAAUUGUCAUAUCAUUUUAACUUAUGUCAUUGAAGUCAAGUAAUUUCAGAUCAAUAGACUUCAUAUUUCUCAUUUAUAAAUUGAGGGGGUGGUACAAGUUGAUAUAUAGUGUUACUUCCAACAUUAAAUCAGUGAUCCUUUACUCCAUACAAGACAAAUCAUAUAUCACUUGUGGUAAACGUAGAGGAGGAAGGAAGAGGUAGAUAUACUAUGCCAGAUGCAUACAUCUUAAUUGGCUUCCCUAUCUUGUUUAUUGCACAUAAGCCAAUUUGGGUUUUACUCCUUCUCUUAAACACUUGCUGACAUCAACAUGUAUCCUACAAAAAUCCACAACUUCAGCCUUCUUUAACAUGUGGAUUUGUAUUUCUUUCAGGAUUGAAAUUCAUAAAUUUUUUUGUUUGCUUCUCCUUAGGCAACUUUUUUGCAUCAUAAUAUAAUGUAUUUUAUGCUUUCAUAAUUAUUUCCCUCUUGGAUCAUUCUAGCAAUGGCAAAGAACACAAUUGGUGGAACUCCUUUUAUUUUAAAAAAUAUAAGCAAAUAAAGAAUGUGUAUAAGCUCGAAAAAACUGAUCA